GAUGAACGCUGGCGGCGUGCCUAAUACAUGCAAGUCGAGCGAACAGACGAGGAGCUUGCUCCUUUGACGUUAGCGGCGGACGGGUGAGUAACACGUGGGUAACCUACCUAUAAGACUGGGAUAACUUCGGGAAACCGGAGCUAAUACCGGAUAAUAUUUCGAACCGCAUGGUUCGAUAGUGAAAGAUGGCUCUGCCAUCACUUAUAGAUGGACCUGCGCCGUAUUAGCUAGUUGGUAAGGUAACGGCUUACCAAGGCAACGAUACGUAGCCGACCUGAGAGGGUGAUCGGCCACACUGGAACUGAGACACGGUCCAGACUCCUACGGGAGGCAGCAGUAGGGAAUCUUCCGCAAUGGGCGAAAGCCUGACGGAGCAACGCCGCGUGAGUGAUGAAGGUCUUCGGAUCGUAAAACUCUGUUAUUAGGGAAGAACAAACGCGUAAGUAACUGUGCACGUCUUGACGGUACCUAAUCAGAAAGCCACGGCUAACUACGUG
This 497-nucleotide ribosomal RNA is filed under the name uncultured bacterium. Its description in RNAcentral is "partial 16S ribosomal RNA". It matches the Rfam family "Bacterial small subunit ribosomal RNA", at positions 28 to 507 of the family's 1533-position model. The record is from RNAcentral.